AUGGCUCAGAAGUAAAGCACUGGACUUGUAAUCUACAGGUUUUGGGUUCGAAUCCCAAU
Molecule: transfer RNA, 59 nt
Filed under: Papilio xuthus (Asian swallowtail)
Lineage: Eukaryota; Metazoa; Arthropoda; Insecta; Lepidoptera; Papilionidae
Rfam family: tRNA
About the family: Transfer RNA (tRNA) molecules are approximately 80 nucleotides in length. Their secondary structure includes four short double-helical elements and three loops (D, anti-codon, and T loops). Further hydrogen bonds mediate the characteristic L-shaped molecular structure. tRNAs have two regions of fundamental functional importance: the anti-codon, which is responsible for specific mRNA codon recognition, and the 3' end, to which the tRNAs corresponding amino acid is attached (by aminoacyl-tRNA synthetases). tRNAs cope with the degeneracy of the genetic code in two manners: having more than one tRNA (with a specific anti-codon) for a particular amino acid; and 'wobble' base-pairing, i.e. permitting non-standard base-pairing at the 3rd anti-codon position.
Source: Rfam by way of RNAcentral